This 567-nucleotide ribosomal RNA is filed under the name uncultured bacterium. RNAcentral describes it as "bacterial SSU rRNA". It matches the Rfam family "Bacterial small subunit ribosomal RNA", at positions 338 to 916 of the family's 1533-position model. The record is from RNAcentral.
CCUACGGGAGGCAGCAGUGGGGAAUAUUGGGCAAUGGAGGAAACUCUGACCCAGCGACGCCGCGUGCGGGAUGAAGGCCUUCGGGUUGUAAACCGCUUUCAGUAGGGAAGAAGCGAAAGUGACGGUACCUACAAAAGAAGCACCGGCUAACUACGUGCCAGCAGCCGCGGUAAUACAUAGGGUGCAAGCGUUGUCCGGAAUUAUUGGGCGUAAAGAGCUCGUAGGUCGUUUGUUACGUCGGAUGUGAAAACCUGAGGCUCAACCUCAGGCCUGCAUUCGAUACGGGCAAACUAGAGUUUGGUAGGGGAGACUGGAAUUCCUGGUGUAGCGGUGGAAUGCGCAGAUAUCAGGAGGAACACCAAUGGCGAAGGCAGGUCUCUGGGCCAAUACUGACACUGAGGAGCGAAAGUCUGGGGAGCGAACAGGAUUAGAUAUCCUGGUAGUCCAGACCGUAAACGGUGGGCACUAGUUGUGGGAACCUUCCACGGUUUCUGCGACGCAGCUAACGCAUUAAGUGCCCCGCCUGGGGAGUACGAUCGCAAGAUUAAAACUCAAAUGAAUUGACGG